This 494-nucleotide ribosomal RNA is filed under the name uncultured bacterium. RNAcentral describes it as "bacterial SSU rRNA". It matches the Rfam family "Bacterial small subunit ribosomal RNA", at positions 28 to 504 of the family's 1533-position model. The record is from RNAcentral.
GAUGAACGCUAGCGGCAGGCUUAAUACAUGCAAGUCGAGGGGCAUCAAGGUACACGAAAGUGUAUUGUUGGCGACCGGCGGACGGGUGAGUAAUAGGUAGGUAACCUACCUCAUACUGAGGCAUAGCUGGGAGAAAUUCCAGGUAAUUCCUCAUGAGGUUAUAUGACACAUGUGAUAUAAUCAAAGGUAUCGCAAGGUACUGGUAUGAGAUGGGCUUACUGACCAUUAGCUAGUUGGUGAGAUAAGAGCUCACCAAGGCGAAGAUGGUUAGGGGUUUUGAGAGAGAGAUCCCCCACAUUGGAACUGAGAUACGGUCCAGACUCCUACGGGAGGCAGCAGUAGGGAAUAUUGGGCAAUGGGCGAAGCCUGACCCAGCCAUGCCGCGUGAAGGAGACGGGCCUUCGGGUUGUAAACUGCUUUAGUCUAGGAAAAGGGUGCGAGGUUAAGUACCCUGUGCUUUGACGGUACUGGAAGAAUAAGCACCGGCUAACUAC